RNAcentral lists this ribosomal RNA (251 nucleotides) under uncultured prokaryote. Its description in RNAcentral is "partial 16S rRNA". It matches the Rfam family "Bacterial small subunit ribosomal RNA", at positions 525 to 775 of the family's 1533-position model. The record is from RNAcentral.
ACGUAGGGGGCGAGCGUUAUUCGGAAUUACUGGGUGUAAAGGGUAUGUAGGCGGCCCUUCAAGUCGCGUGUCAAAGUCCAGUGCUCAACGCUGGGAGUGCGCGUGGAACUGAUGAGCUUGAGUGCAGGAGAGGUAAGUGGAAUUCCCGGUGUAGUAGUGAAAUGCGUAGAGAUCGGGAGGAACACCAGCGGCGAAGGCGACUUGCUGGACUGUAACUGACGCUGAGAUACGAAAGCUAGGGGAGCAAACGG